RNAcentral lists this ribosomal RNA (316 nucleotides) under uncultured soil bacterium. Its description in RNAcentral is "bacterial SSU rRNA". It matches the Rfam family "Bacterial small subunit ribosomal RNA", at positions 27 to 351 of the family's 1533-position model. The record is from RNAcentral.
GGAUUGAACGCUGGCGGCAUGCCUAACACAUGCAAGUCGAACGGGAGUAGCAAUACUCUAGUGGCGGACGGGUGAGGAAUACGUAGGAAUUUGCCCUUAAGUGGGGGAUAACCCGGGGAAACCCGGAUUAAUACCGCAUGACCUCGAAAGAGCAAAGUGGGGGAUCGCAAGACCUCACGCUUUUGGAGAAGCCUACGUCGGAUUAGCUAGUUGGUGAGGUAAUGGCUCACCAAGGCGACGAUUCGUAACUGGUCUGAGACGGAUGGAUCGAGUCACACCGGACUGAGACACGGUCCGGACUCCUACGGGAGGCCAG